Molecule: ribosomal RNA, 564 nt
Filed under: Physarum cf. straminipes
Lineage: Eukaryota; Evosea; Eumycetozoa; Physariida; Physaraceae
Description: SSU rRNA
Rfam family: Eukaryotic small subunit ribosomal RNA
Source: RNAcentral
AUGCUUCUCCUAAAGACUAAGCCAUGCAUGCCUCCGAAUAGAAGAGCAUUCUCUCUGAAUCUGCGAACGGCUCCGCACACCAGUUGUAAACUAUAGCAAGUCCGCAUGAUCACGGGCAACCGUGGUUGUGCUCACAGGGAUAACCCUGGUAAUUCUGAGGCUAAUACAAGAACGUAAAACUCGGUUGACCGGUUCGCUGGAAGGCCGAGGGUCGUGUGAGGCUUUUACCGCAACACCGACACGAAAGAGUGCACGAUCAAACCACCAUAAUAAACGAUAGGGCAGGGAAACCCCUCCGGGGGAUGUACCGGUCCGUUCGGGUGGGCCUUGCUGUGUGCUUCUGACCUAUCAACUAGAUGGCAGCGUAAAGGACAUGCUAUGGUGACAACGGGUACAGAGGAUAAGGGUUCGAUCCUGGAGAGUGGGCCUGAGAGAUUGCUCACACUUCUAAGGAAGGCAGCAGGCGCGUAACGUUCCCAUUGGGCAAAGCCUGAGGGCGUUAGGGGACAUAUGAAUGCUUGCCAUAUGGUAGGCAAUUCAAAUGGGUUCGUUCUAAACAACCCU